AUUGAACGCUGGCGGCAUGCCUUACACAUGCAAGUCGAACGGUAACAGGUCUUCGGACGCUGACGAGUGGCGAACGGGUGAGUAAUACAUCGGAACGUGCCCAGUCGUGGGGGAUAACUACUCGAAAGAGUAGCUAAUACCGCAUACGAUCUGAGGAUGAAAGCGGGGGACCUUCGGGCCUCGCGCGAGUGGAGCGGCCGAUGGCAGAUUAGGUAGUUGGUGGGACAAAAGCUACCAAGCCGACGAGCUGUAGCUGGUCUGAGAGGACGACCAGCCACACUGGGACUGAGACACGGCCCAGACUCCUACGGGAGGCAGCAGUGGGGAAUUUUGGACAAUGGGCGAAAGCCUGAUCCAGCAAUGCCGCGUGCAGGAUGAAGGCCUUCGGGUUGUAAACUGCUUUUGUACGGAACGAAAAAGCUUCUCCUAAUACGAGAGGCCCAUGACGGUACCGUAAGAAUAAGCACCGGCUAACUACGUGCCAGCAGCCGCCGUAA
This 497-nucleotide ribosomal RNA is filed under the name uncultured bacterium. RNAcentral describes it as "partial 16S ribosomal RNA". It matches the Rfam family "Bacterial small subunit ribosomal RNA", at positions 30 to 523 of the family's 1533-position model. The record is from RNAcentral.